GUAGGCCCCAGUGUUACAGGUUACCAUGUAGUUGUCAAUGCAGAUGGUAAUGGUGACAUGGUAUCUAAUUUUACCUUUUUUUGUUGUUGUUGUUUUGAUCUGAUUUAGUUAUCGACCGUGUAAUUUCAGGGUCAUAAAUGGUAGUGGAGUACAGAAAUGUCCGGUAUCCAGCUUUGUGUAUAAUUGCAAAGGUGAUACUUGCAAUCAAUGCAUUGGGGAUGUCGUAAUGUUUGAACAAAAUGUCAGCCUUUAAACUAUCUAUCUUUUGGCUCAAUUAGAUUUUAAUGAAUUCCAAAGCCGUUUCAUCUUCCUGCUUGUUUUGUAAUUUGAUUACACUGCCUUUUAUCAUAACAUCUAGGAGUGCUACUGGACCUGCAUUUGGAACUAGAACUGUUGUAGGUCGUAUUUUGAAAGAAAUCUAUGGUUCUGCUAAGUAGCAAUACACAUUUACAGUGAGCUUGAUUGUUCUAUAUGUAACCUUAACUUUAGAUUUCCUGAAAUUUCAGUGGAACUAAAUUAUGUUACUGGCUAAUAUAUGGGCAUUGUGCAUAUUUAAAUUCUAACGCUUCUCUGUUUGAUCAGACUGAAGUAUUAAGGAGCAUAGAAGAGGAACCACUUCCUCCACUCUACCCUCUUAUAAUUAAGGGUAGAAACCUUUAUAAUCUAAACACAAUGAGAUAGGCGGAUGAGGAGAUGAGCAGGAAGGUCUAAUAAAGAAGCAAGAAUGAACAAAAGGAAAUGUGGAACAAGAGUACUGGACAAAGGUGAACUUCUCAAGUCUGUCCUGUUUGUCAACAAUAUCGUCUUGGGUUUUGUUUGAAAGUCCCAGCGCUCAAAAUAUGAAUUCAGUUUGCAUUUGUUUUUGCCAUUUCUUGAUUUUUUUGAAGCUAUUUAGUAUUUAGCCUUUAGUAGUACACAUAUAUAGUUGCUGAUAUCACAAAAGCAGGAGAUGACUUUACAAGUUCUCAUAAAUUCUUAGUUUGUGAGAUUAUCUCCAAGGAGUAUUGUACUUGGCUAAUGGAAUCGGAAUGUGGUGGUUGCGCCCAUCACCAAGAUGGUCGUUAUUAUGCGACAAACAAGGAAAGGGAAAUACAAGAUAAACUGCAAUAUGGUGUUUGUGUUGGCUGAGGGUGAAGCCAUUUUCGAAGGAAAAUGCUUGAAAGCACUUAUUGUUGGUGCUGGUUUGGUUAGAUCACAGGAAACCAAAUUUUUUAUAUCAUGCUGCAACAAUCUUCAAGGUAUGGAAGUUGUGAGAUAACAAGGAAUUCAAUGCAUCAUCCAGGAUUUCUCAUUCUACCAAGGUUCCAAACUAGAGAAUUUUCAAGUCUUUGGCAUUUAAGUUUUCUGUUACGGAUUAUGUUCCACAUGUUUUAUUCCUGAUAAGUCGCUUGAGUCAUUUUCAACAUCUUCUCUUAUA
Long non-coding RNA from Papaver somniferum (opium poppy), 1417 nucleotides. RefSeq lists it as uncharacterized. The record is from RefSeq and is a predicted model, not a curated record. Lineage: Eukaryota; Viridiplantae; Streptophyta; Magnoliopsida; Ranunculales; Papaveraceae. The transcript has 4 exons.